CACGGACCAAGGAGUCUAGCCGGCGAGCAAGUCAAUGGGACUGCACUAAACCCUAUGGCGUAGCGAAAGCAAGCUUCUGCUUGUCUUGUGAAGACGGGCGUCCUUUUGAGGGGCGUCCAGCAUUCACGGGGCCCGUACCGUAUAAUACGAGUGCGUGGUACCUUGAGCUCGCCGGCUGGCACCCGAAAGAUGGUGAACUAUGCCAAGUCGGAACGAAGACGGGGGAAACCCCGUUGGAGGUUCUAAUCGUUUCUGACGUGCAAAUCGAUCGUUUGAGCCUGGCAUAGGGGCGAAAGACUAAUCGAACCAUCUA
This 313-nucleotide ribosomal RNA is filed under the name Mysidium columbiae. RNAcentral's name for it is "eukaryotic LSU rRNA". It matches the Rfam family "Eukaryotic large subunit ribosomal RNA", at positions 660 to 946 of the family's 3401-position model. The record is from RNAcentral. Lineage: Eukaryota; Metazoa; Arthropoda; Malacostraca; Mysida; Mysidae.